RNAcentral lists this ribosomal RNA (254 nucleotides) under uncultured bacterium. RNAcentral's name for it is "partial 16S ribosomal RNA". It matches the Rfam family "Bacterial small subunit ribosomal RNA", at positions 524 to 776 of the family's 1533-position model. The record is from RNAcentral.
UACGUAGGGUGCAGGCGUUAAUCGGAAUUACUGGGCGUAAAGCGUGCGCAGGCGGUUUUGUAAGUCUGACGUGAAAUCCCCGGGCUUAACCUGGGAAUUGCGUUGGAGACUGCAAGGCUGGAGUCUGGCAGAGGGGGGUAGAAUUCCACGUGUGAGCAGUGAAAUGCGUAGAGAUGUGGAGGAACACCGAUGGCGAAGGCAGCCCCCUGGGUCAAGACUGACGCUCAUGCACGAAAGCGUGGGGAGCAAACAGG